UGGGGAAUAUUGCACAAUGGGCGCAAGCCUGAUGCAGCCAUGCCGCGUGUGUGAAGAAGGCCUUCGGGAUGUAAAGCACUUUCAGCGGGGAGGAAGGCGGUGAGGUUAAUAACCUCACCGAUUGACGUUACCAGCAGAAGAAGCACCGGCUAACUACGUGCCAGCAGCCGCGGUAAUACGGAGGGUGCAAGCGUUAAUCGGAAUUACUGGGCGUAAAGCGCACGCAGGCGGUCUGUCAAGUCGGAUGUGAAAUCCCCGGGCUCAACCUGGGAAGUGCCUUCGAAACUGGCAGGCUAGCGUCUUGUAGAGGGGGGUAGAAUUCCAGGUGUAGCGGUGAAAUGCGUUGAGAUCUGGAGGAAUACCUGUGGCGAAGGCGGCCCCCUGGUCAAAGACUGACGCUCAGGUGCGAACGCGUGGGGAGCAAACAGG
Molecule: ribosomal RNA, 429 nt
Filed under: Chloroflexota bacterium
Lineage: Bacteria; Bacillati; Chloroflexota
Description: Chloroflexi bacterium partial 16S ribosomal RNA
Rfam family: Bacterial small subunit ribosomal RNA
Source: RNAcentral